Amaranthus tricolor (Joseph's coat) is the source of this 532-nucleotide long non-coding RNA. RefSeq lists it as uncharacterized. Lineage: Eukaryota; Viridiplantae; Streptophyta; Magnoliopsida; Caryophyllales; Amaranthaceae. The record is from RefSeq and is a predicted model, not a curated record. The transcript has 2 exons.
UCCAAUUGAAAGCCCAAGUAACUUCACAUAAACAAUCGCAGUUGAAACAGAAACCCUAAUACGUUCUCUUUGCCACCUUCCUUAAUAUAAUACCACCAUUUCAUUCUUCCUCCUCAAAAGCUUUCCAAUUUCUCAGAUGGUGUUGCCAUGAUGAUAACGAAAGUAAUGAAAAGCUUUGUACAAAUGCUUCAUGAUAAUUCGGCGUAAAAGGCCGACCUGAGCGGUUACCGGAGCAUCAUUAUUGUUUAUAUAUGAAUAAUUUGCGAAUUACAUAUUUAAGUUUUUGAUUUAUACGAGUUAAAACCUUAAUGUACACCAAAAUAUCAAUGUUUAUAGCGUUCAGGCCAAAACAUAGAAUUUCGACCACUUAACAUAAAACUCUGACCACCAAAAUGGUCGGAAUUCUGUGAUCUAGCCUGAACGCGAUAGACUUUGAGACUUGAGUGGCUGUAGUUUGCAAAAAUGCUAAACGUUGUAAUUUACAAAUUAUUCUUUAUAUAUUCUUAUAUUUAGAGAAGCAACAUAAUUCUCA